UACGGAGGAUCCAAGCGUUGUCCGGAUUUAUUGGGUUUAAAGGGUGCGUAGGCGGGUUAUUAAGUCAGUGGUGAAAGCCGGCAGCUCAACUGUCGAACUGCCAUUGAAACUGAUAGCCUAGAAUCUAGUAGAGGUAGGCGGAAUGUAUCAUGUAGCGGUGAAAUGCUUAGAUAUGAUACAGAACACCAAUUAAGAAAGCAGCUUACUAUGCUGGUAUUGACGCUGAGGCACGAAAGCGUGGGGAUCAAACAGG
Molecule: ribosomal RNA, 253 nt
Filed under: uncultured bacterium
Lineage: Bacteria
Description: partial 16S ribosomal RNA
Rfam family: Bacterial small subunit ribosomal RNA
Source: RNAcentral